This 72-nucleotide transfer RNA is filed under the name Ictidomys tridecemlineatus (thirteen-lined ground squirrel). Its description in RNAcentral is "Spermophilus tridecemlineatus (thirteen-lined ground squirrel) tRNA". It matches the Rfam family "tRNA". Rfam says of the family: Transfer RNA (tRNA) molecules are approximately 80 nucleotides in length. Their secondary structure includes four short double-helical elements and three loops (D, anti-codon, and T loops). Lineage: Eukaryota; Metazoa; Chordata; Mammalia; Rodentia; Sciuridae. The record is from Rfam by way of RNAcentral.
UGGGUUGUAGCUCAGUGGUAGAGCACUUGCCUAACACGUAUAAGGAAUUGGGUUCGAUCCUCAGCACCACAC